This 556-nucleotide ribosomal RNA is filed under the name Escherichia coli. RNAcentral's name for it is "partial 23S ribosomal RNA". It matches the Rfam family "Bacterial large subunit ribosomal RNA", at positions 1 to 550 of the family's 2925-position model. Lineage: Bacteria; Pseudomonadati; Pseudomonadota; Gammaproteobacteria; Enterobacterales; Enterobacteriaceae. The record is from RNAcentral.
GGUUAAGUUAGAAAGGGCGCACGGUGGAUGCCUUGACACUAGGAGUCGAUGAAGGACGGGACUAACGCCGAUAUGCUUCGGGGAGCUGUAAGUAAGCUUUGAUCCGAAGAUUUCCGAAUGGGGAAACCCACUAUACGUAAUGGUAUGGUAUCCUUACCUGAAUACAUAGGGUAUGGAAGACAGACCCAGGGAACUGAAACAUCUAAGUACCUGGAGGAAGAGAAAGCAAAUGCGAUUUCCUGAGUAGCGGCGAGCGAAACGGAAUCUAGCCCAAACCAAGAGGCUUGCCUCUUGGGGUUGUAGGACAUUCUAUACGGAGUUACAAAGGAACGAGGUAGACGAAGCAGUCUGGAAAGGCUCGUCACAGAGGGUAACAACCCCGUAGUCGAAACUUCGUUCUCUCUUGAAUGUAUCCUGAGUACGGCGGAACACGUGAAAUUCCGUCGGAAUCUGGGAGGACCAUCUCCCAAGGCUAAAUACUCCCUAGUGAUCGAUAGUGAACCAGUACCGUGAGGGAAAGGUGAAAAGCACCCCGGAAGGGGAGUGAAAGAGAUCC